Molecule: ribosomal RNA, 630 nt
Filed under: uncultured bacterium
Lineage: Bacteria
Description: bacterial SSU rRNA
Rfam family: Bacterial small subunit ribosomal RNA
Source: RNAcentral
UUGGGCGUAAGAGCUCGUAGGCGGUUUGUCGCGUCUGCUGUGAAAUCCCGAGGCUCAACCUCGGGCCUGCAGUGGGUACGGGCAGACUAGAGUGCGGUAGGGGAGAUUGGAAUUCCUGGUGUAGCGGUGGAAUACGCAGAUAUCAGGAGGAACACCGAUGGCGAAGGCAGAUCUCUGGGCCGUAACUGACGCUGAGGAGCGAAAGGGUGGGGAGCAAACAGGCUUAGAUACCCUGGUAGUCCACCCCGUAAACGUUGGGAACUAGUUGUGGGGUCCAUUCCACGGAUUCCGUGACGCAGCUAACGCAUUAAGUUCCCCGCCUGGGGAGUACGGCCGCAAGGCUAAAACUCAAAGGAAUUGACGGGGACCCGCACAAGCGGCGGAGCAUGCGGAUUAAUUCGAUGCAACGCGAAGAACCUUACCAAGGCUUGACAUAUACGAGAACACUUCAGAAAUGAAGGACUCUUUGGACACUCGUAUACAGGUGGUGCAUGGUUGUCGUCAGCUCGUGUCGUGAGAUGUUGGGUUAAGUCCCGCAACGAGCGCAACCCUCGUUCUAUGUUGCCAGCACGUUAUGGUGGGAACUCAUGGGAUACCGCCGGGGUCAACUCGGAGGAAGGUGGGGAUGAC